Microcebus murinus (gray mouse lemur) is the source of this 1048-nucleotide non-coding RNA. The record is from RefSeq and is a predicted model, not a curated record. NCBI's taxonomy places the organism in Eukaryota, Metazoa, Chordata, Mammalia, Primates, Cheirogaleidae.
UGCUCUCUGGGGGACAGGGGCAAGGCAGAAGGGUAUCCAGCUGCAGGGCAACGCAGAGCAGGCGCAGGCUCGGGCAGGGCACGUGCCCCUUGGAAAACCUGCUGGGGGCUCCCGAGCCUCCGCCUGUUCACAAAGAGAAAAAGGGCCGGGGUCAAAUAAGCAGAGGAAGAAACUGCAAAGGUUAAAAUAAGGAGACGGUCAAAGUAUGAUUUCAUAAAUCACACAGUUUAUUGUCACACAGAGAAUUUUUUCUUCUCUUUAAGGUUCACAAUGCUUAAAGAAGGGGAGAAUAACGCGAACAAACCUAACAGGGAACAUACUCAAUAGGCAAGGUACACGCAGCCACUCGGUGAGCUCCGAGAUCAUGAGGCCUCGGUGCACAGUUAGCAUGGAACAGGCCUCUGUGGACAGUCAGACUAAUUAACGCUAGAGGUGGAGCUGUGUGUGCAGGGCUCUGGGAGGGGCGGGCUUGGCCACCAGAGUGGAGACCGAAGAAAAGCAGGCAAGCUCCCUCGAGCUAGGGGCGGUGCUGGUGCUGUCAGGCCGGAUUCAAGGCGCCAAGGCCUGUCUCUGCCCAGCUCUUGGCCUUCAGAAGAGCAGCUGGCACAGGGGACACUGCUACAGCCUAAGCUCUCCAAGUGCCUGCCAGACUCUGAGGUUGACAUGUAUUUCGCAGUGUAGGAGUUGAGUCAGGAAUCCACAUAUGGGUUCUGAUAAGGUGUGAUGUACUCCCAAGUGGAAGAGGUGAAACUCCAAGUUCUCACGUAUGAGAUCUGAUAAGACGUCACAUUCUCCAGGGAGUGGGGAGUACACUCCCAGUUCUUAAGACAGCAAAAUAUGUAUUAUGCACACAGCAAACUAGGCCGUAAUGAGAGAGGGGGAACAGGAACCAGCCAUGCUGACAGAUGACCCAGGUCUGGAUUUUUCUUGAAAUGUCACCAGAAGAGACACUGGACAAUGAAAAAAAUAUUCUUUCCAAACUCAAGAUACACACAGAAUUGUGGAUUUAAUCACCAUGGUAGUUCUACAGAAUCCUGCAGGCAAGAGA